GAGCCUGAUCGCGGGCAGCGGUCUGUUUUGCGGCCGUUUCUGGGCCCGCUCGCCGUGGCCGCCUGACGAAGGGAAAAUCCUGCGGGCCAGCCCGCUGGAUCAUCCGUCCACAUCGGCAGGAAAACAUGGUGAUGUGUUCCACAACAGCAUAUAAGCAACGUGCACUUGGCGGGUUGCACUUUGAGGGGGACUUGGAGUAAUUUGCAGCUUGGCUAUGGAACCACACUGAAUCUUGAC
Molecule: long non-coding RNA, 237 nt
Organism: Carcharodon carcharias (great white shark)
Lineage: Eukaryota; Metazoa; Chordata; Chondrichthyes; Lamniformes; Lamnidae
Exons: 3
Source: RefSeq, a predicted model, not a curated record